GUCAGCAAAAUAAUAGCUUUAAAUAAUAGCUGAUUUUGUCUAAUGUCUCAUGAAGUUUUUGUGGGUAAUCUGAACAUAAUUGUUGGGAUCAAAUGAUUUAAAUAGACAAAAAUGGGGAA
Non-coding RNA from Ceratotherium simum simum (southern white rhinoceros), 119 nucleotides. Lineage: Eukaryota; Metazoa; Chordata; Mammalia; Perissodactyla; Rhinocerotidae. The record is from RefSeq and is a predicted model, not a curated record.